RNAcentral lists this long non-coding RNA (1111 nucleotides) under Vulpes vulpes (red fox). RNAcentral describes it as "lncRNA (ENSVVUG00000012864.1)". The record is from RNAcentral. Lineage: Eukaryota; Metazoa; Chordata; Mammalia; Carnivora; Canidae.
UUAUAGCAGUGGGACCAUGAGGCCGCCCUGCUGUGAAUUCGUUUCCAGUCCAGCCAGCUCAGACAACACUCAGAUGGAUUAACGGACCUUGCUAGACUCCGACUGCCUCGCCUCGCCUCACUGAGCACAGCCCCAGGCUUCAGUGGCUGCACGUGCUUCUCCUUGGGCAUCACACACCACCUGGUAGGCAUGAGAUGUGUCAAUCACUGUUGGCAGGAAAGCCUGGGGAGCAGUGUUUUGGUCCUACCUAUUACUUCAAUGUAAGCUGAAUUUCUCUCACUUCUUAUUUUUUAAGGGAGCAAGUUUCACAUUUUUUUGUAGAACUGGCAUAACUCAAAUAGUGAAGUCCGUGGGGAAACAAAGCAACCACAACUCAAGAUAAUCCACUUGCACGAGAGGCUUCGGAUGGUGGUUUUGAUUUAACAAGUAGUGGUGGGAUAAUUGUGAGAACAUGCUGCUGGGAAAGAGCACCUGGUCUGGUCAGCCUGAUGUAGGAUCUGGACGGGGGAGCUCCCAAAUGGGGUAGCAGCUCCGCAUUUCUAAUCCGAGCCCAGAUGGAUCUCCUGCCGUGCAUAUGCGUUGUUGAGCAAACUGGUAAACUAACCUGAGAGUCUUGCCUGAAUGAUGAGCUGCACGUAUCAGCUUGAGCAGAACAUUAGCAAGAGCUGGCGUAGGCCUCCAACCUCACCGAGUUUCCUCUCUCUCCUGCCAGUGGACAUGACAGCUCAGGAUAAGGUGACUGGGAGACCACGGGAGCAAAUGUGACACAAGGCAGAAGGCUGUCUUGAGACCUUCCAGCUGGUUUGCAUUUCCUCAUGGGAUAGGAGCCUUCUCCUGCAGGCUGGGAAGGCAGUGGGACCACCAUACGAUUUUAUGGAUCAGUUUUCACUUUUCCAGAUGCAAAGAGAGGAGCCGUAAUUACCUUGCGUACGUUUUGAUAACAUCCCUUGGGCAAGAGGGUUCUGGGGGAGAUUUAUGCCCAUGGAUGGAAUUUGCAGUUCCCAUCAUGCUGGAAAUGCUGAGAUGCAAUUUUGAAACUGGACAAGCACUUGAGGAACACCUGGACAAUGCACUCAGUUGUGCAGGAUGGCUUGAAAUUCAUUACAUCUAG